Molecule: ribosomal RNA, 443 nt
Filed under: uncultured bacterium
Lineage: Bacteria
Description: SSU rRNA
Rfam family: Bacterial small subunit ribosomal RNA
Source: RNAcentral
AGAACGAACGCUGGCGGCAGGCCUAACACAUGCAAGUCGAACGCAACUUCGGUUGAGUGGCGCACGGGUGAGUAACGCGUGGGAACCUGUCCUGUGGUACGGAAUAACAUCGGGAAACUGGUGCUAAUACCGUAUAUCCCCUGAGGGGGAAAGAUUUAUCGCCAUAGGAGGGGCCCGCGUAGGAUUAGCUAGUUGGUGAGGUAACGGCUCACCAAGGCGACGAUCCUUAGCUGGUCUGAGAGGAUGAUCAGCCACACUGGGACUGAGACACGGCCCAGACUCCUACGGGAGGCAGCAGUGGGGAAUAUUGGACAAUGGGCGAAAGCCUGAUCCAGCCAUGCCGCGUGUGUGAUGAAGGCCUUCGGGUUGUAAAGCACUUUCGCACGUGACGAUGAUGACGGUAACGUGAGAAGAAGCCCGGCUAACUUCGCGCCAGCAGCCGC